CGAGCGAACGGACGAGAAGCUUGCUUCUCUGAUGUUAGCGGCGGACGGGUGAGUAACACGUGGAUAACCUACCUAUAAGACUGGGAUAACUUCGGGAAACCGGAGCUAAUACCGGAUAAUAUUUUGAACCGCAUGGUUCAAAAGUGAAAGACGGUCUUGCUGUCACUUAUAGAUGGAUCCGCGCUGCAUUAGCUAGUUGGUAAGGUAACGGCUUACCAAGGCAACGAUGCAUAGCCGACCUGAGAGGGUGAUCGGCCACACUGGAACUGAGACACGGUCCAGACUCCUACGGGAGGCAGCAGUAGGGAAUCUUCCGCAAUGGGCGAAAGCCUGACGGAGCAACGCCGCGUGAGUGAUGAAGGUCUUCGGAUCGUAAAACUCUGUUAUUAGGGAAGAACAUAUGUGUAAGUAACUGUGCACAUCUUGACGGUACCUAAUCAGAAAGCCACGGCUAACUACGUGCCAGCAGCCGCGGUAAUACGUAGGUGGCAAGCGUUAUCCGGAAUUAUUGGGCGUAAAGCGCGCGUAGGCGGUUUUUUAAGUCUGAUGUGAAAGCCCACGGCUCAACCGUGGAGGGUCAUUGGAAACUGGAAAACUUGAGUGCAGAAGAGGAAAGUGGAAUUCCAUGUGUAGCGGUGAAAUGCGCAGAGAUAUGGAGGAACACCAGUGGCGAAGGCGACUUUCUGGUCUGUAACUGACGCUGAUGUGCGAAAGCGUGGGGAUCAAACAGGAUUAGAUACCCUGGUAGUCCACGCCGUAAACGAUGAGUGCUAAGUGUUAGGGGGUUUCCGCCCCUUAGUGCUGCAGCUAACGCAUUAAGCACUCCGCCUGGGGAGUACGACCGCAAGGUUGAAACUCAAAGGAAUUGACGGGGACCCGCACAAGCGGUGGAGCAUGUGGUUUAAUUCGAAGCAACGCGAAGAACCUUACCAAAUCUUGACAUCCUUUGACAACUCUAGAGAUAGAGCUUUCCCCUUCGGGGGACAAAGUGACAGGUGGUGCAUGGUUGUCGUCAGCUCGUGUCGUGAGAUGUUGGGUUAAGUCCCGCAACGAGCGCAACCCUUAAGCUUAGUUGCCAUCAUUAAGUUGGGCACUCUAAGUUGACUGCCGGUGACAAACCGGAGGAAGGUGGGGAUGACGUCAAAUCAUCAUGCCCCUUAUGAUUUGGGCUACACACGUGCUACAAUGGACAAUACAAAGGGCAGCGAAACCGCGAGGUCAAGCAAAUCCCAUAAAGUUGUUCUCAGUUCGGAUUGUAGUCUGCAACUCGACUACAUGAAGCUGGAAUCGCUAGUAAUCGUAGAUCAGCAUGCUACGGUGAAUACGUUCCCGGGUCUUGUACACACCGCCCGUCACACCAGGAGAGUUUGUAACACCCGAAGCCGGUGGAGUAACCUUUUAGGAGCUAGC
RNAcentral lists this ribosomal RNA (1410 nucleotides) under Staphylococcus aureus. RNAcentral's name for it is "bacterial SSU rRNA". It matches the Rfam family "Bacterial small subunit ribosomal RNA". Lineage: Bacteria; Bacillati; Bacillota; Bacilli; Caryophanales; Staphylococcaceae. The record is from RNAcentral.